This 820-nucleotide ribosomal RNA is filed under the name uncultured eukaryote. RNAcentral's name for it is "SSU rRNA". It matches the Rfam family "Eukaryotic small subunit ribosomal RNA", at positions 629 to 1426 of the family's 1831-position model. The record is from RNAcentral.
CGGUGUUUAACUGGCGUGAUGUGGGACGUCCUACCGGUGGGCUUAGCCUCGCGAGGGGCGGCCCAACUAAUAUCCCGUCGCGGUGCUCUUUACUGAGUGUCGAGUCGGGCCGGUACGUUUACUUUGAACAAAUUAGAGUGCUUAAAGCAGGCUAUCCUCGCCUGAAUACUGCGUGCAUGGAAUAAUGGAAUAGGACCUCGGUUCUAUUUUGUUGGUUUUCGGAACCCCGAGGUAAUGAUUAAUAGGGACAGAUGGGGGCAUUCGUAUUGCGACGUUAGAGGUGAAAUUCUUGGAUCGUCGCAAGACGGACAGAAGCGAAAGCAUUUGCCAAAAAUGUUUUCAUUAAUCAAGAACGAAAGUUAGAGGUUCGAAGGCGAUCAGAUACCGCCCUAGUUCUAACCAUAAACGAUGCCAGCUAGCGAUCCGCCGAAGUUCCUCCGAUGACUCGGCGGGCAGCUUCCGGGAAACCAAAGCUUUUGGGUUCCGGGGGAAGUAUGGUUGCAAAGCUGAAACUUAAAGGAAUUGACGGAAGGGCACCCCCCGGAGUGGAGCCUGCGGCUUAAUUUGACUCAACACGGGAAACCUCACCAGGCCCAGACACCGGAAGGAUUGACAGAUUGAUAGCUCUUUCUUGAUUCGGUGGGGUGGUGGUGCAUGGCCGUUCUUAGUUGGUGGAGCGAUUUGUCUGGUUAAUUCCGAUAACGAACGAGACUCUAGCCUGCUAAAUAGGCGUACCUUAUGGUAUCGCGAAGGCCCCCGGCUUCGGCCGGUGGGUUUUUACUACCAACGUACAAACAAAUCUUUUUAGAGGGACAGGCGG